GAACGCUGGCGGCGUGCUUAACACAUGCAAGUCGAACGGAAAGGCCCUGCUUUUGUGGGGUGCUCGAGUGGCGAACGGGUGAGUAACACGUGAGUAACCUGCCCUUGACUUUGGGAUAACUUCAGGAAACUGGGGCUAAUACCGGAUAGGAGCUCCUGCUGCAUGGUGGGGGUUGGAAAGUUUCGGCGGUUGGGGAUGGACUCGCGGCUUAUCAGCUUGUUGGUGGGGUAGUGGCUUACCAAGGCUUUGACGGGUAGCCGGCCUGAGAGGGUGACCGGCCACAUUGGGACUGAGAUACGGCCCAGACUCCUACGGGAGGCAGCAGUGGGGAAUAUUGCACAAUGGGCGGAAGCCUGAUGCAGCAACGCCGCGUGCGGGAUGACGGCCUUCGGGUUGUAAACCGCUUUCGCCUGUGACGAAGCGUGAGUGACGGUAAUGGGUAAAGAAGCACCGGCUAACUACGUGCCAGCAGCCGCGGUGAUACGUAGGGCGCGAGCGUUGUCCGGAUUUAUUGGGCGUAAAGGGCUCGUAGGUGGUUGAUCGCGUCGGAAGUGUAAUCUUGGGGCUUAACCCUGAGCGUGCUUUCGAUACGGGUUGACUUGAGGAAGGUAGGGGAGAAUGGAAUUCCUGGUGGAGCGGUGGAAUGCGCAGAUAUCAGGAGGAACACCAGUGGCGAAGGCGGUUCUCUGGGCCUUUCCUGACGCUGAGGAGCGAAAGCGUGGGGAGCGAACAGGCUUAGAUACCCUGGUAGUCCACGCUGUAAACGGUGGGUACUAGGUGUGGGGUCCAUUCCACGGAUUCCGUGCCGUAGCUAACGCUUUAGAGGUACCCCGCCUGGGGAGGUACGGCCGCAAGGCUA
This 859-nucleotide ribosomal RNA is filed under the name uncultured bacterium. Its description in RNAcentral is "bacterial SSU rRNA". It matches the Rfam family "Bacterial small subunit ribosomal RNA", at positions 31 to 896 of the family's 1533-position model. The record is from RNAcentral.